RNAcentral lists this ribosomal RNA (254 nucleotides) under uncultured bacterium. RNAcentral's name for it is "partial 16S ribosomal RNA". It matches the Rfam family "Bacterial small subunit ribosomal RNA", at positions 524 to 776 of the family's 1533-position model. The record is from RNAcentral.
UACGUAGGGUGCGAGCGUUAAUCGGAAUUACUGGGCGUAAAGCGUGCGCAGGCGGUUCGCUAAGACCGAUGUGAAAUCCCCGGGCUUAACCUGGGAACUGCAUUGGUGACUGGCGAGCUAGGGUGUGGCAGAGGGGGGGUAGAAUUCCACGUGUAGCAGUGAAAUGCGUAGAGAUGUGGAGGAAUACCGAUGGCGAAGGCAGCCCCCUGGGCUAACACUGACGCUCAUGCACGAAAGCGUGGGGAGCAAACAGG